Molecule: ribosomal RNA, 448 nt
Filed under: uncultured bacterium
Lineage: Bacteria
Description: bacterial SSU rRNA
Rfam family: Bacterial small subunit ribosomal RNA
Source: RNAcentral
AACGAACGCUGGCGGCAUGCCUAACACAUGCAAGUCGAACGAGACCUUCGGUCUAGUGGCGCACGGGUGCGUAACGCGUGGGAACCUGCCUUUAGGUUCGGAAUAACUCAGAGAAAUUUGAGCUAAUACCGGAUAAUGUCUUCGGACCAAAGAUUUAUCGCCUUUAGAUGGGCCCGCGUAAGAUUAGCUAGUUGGUGGGUAAAGCCUACCAAGGCGACGAUCUUUAGCUGGUCUGAGAGGAUGAUCAGCCACACUGGGACUGAGACACGGCCCAGACUCCUACGGGAGGCAGCAGUGGGAAUAUUGGACAAUGGGCGAAAGCCUGAUCCAGCAAUGCCGCGUGAGUGAUGAAGGCCUUAGGGGUUGUAAAAGCUCUUUCGCGCACGACGAUAAUGACGGUAGUGCGAGAAGAAGCUCCGGCUAACUUCGUGCCAGCAGCCGCGGUAAU